Molecule: ribosomal RNA, 446 nt
Filed under: uncultured bacterium
Lineage: Bacteria
Description: partial 16S ribosomal RNA
Rfam family: Bacterial small subunit ribosomal RNA
Source: RNAcentral
CCUACGGGGGGCUGCAGUCGAGAAUCAUUCACAAUGGGGGAAACCCUGAUGGUGCGACGCCGCGUGGGGGAAUGAAGGUCUUCGGAUUGUAAACCCCUGUCAUGUGGGAGCAAAUUAAAAAGAUAGUACCACAAGAGGAAGAGACGGCUAACUCUGUGCCAGCAGCCGCGGUAAUACAGAGGUCGCAAGCAUUGUUCGGAAUCACUGGGCGUAAAGCGUGCGUAGGCUGUUUCGUAAGUCGUGUGUGAAAGGCGUGGGCUCAACCCGCGGACGGCACAUGAUACUGGGAGACUCGUGUAAGGGAGGGGGGAGCGGAAUUCUCGGUGUAGCAGUGAAAUGCGUAGAUAUCGGGAGGAACACUCGUGGCGAAGGCGGGUUCCUGGACAUUAACUGACGCUGAGGCACGAAGGCCAGGGGAGCGAAAGGGAUUAGAUACCCUAGUAGUC